UCUAUGGAGAGUUUGAUCCUGGCUCAGGACGAACGCUGGCGGCGUGCCUAAUACAUGCAAGUCGAGCGGAGUUUUGAAAAGCUUGCUUUUCAAAACUUAGCGGCGGACGGGUGAGUAACACGUGGGCAACCUGCCCUUGAGACGGGGAUAACUCCGGGAAACCGG
RNAcentral lists this ribosomal RNA (165 nucleotides) under Priestia endophytica. Its description in RNAcentral is "Bacillus endophyticus partial 16S ribosomal RNA". It matches the Rfam family "Bacterial small subunit ribosomal RNA", at positions 1 to 160 of the family's 1533-position model. The record is from RNAcentral. Lineage: Bacteria; Bacillati; Bacillota; Bacilli; Caryophanales; Bacillaceae.